AAGUCGUAACAAGGUUUCCGUAGGUGAACCUGCGGAAGGAUCAUUAAUCCAGGCGCGGACCCCUCCGGGGGCGAGCGCCGCCUUCACACCAACCCUCUGCCUACACGUACCCCCAUCGCUUCCUCGGCAGGCUCGCCUGCCGCCAGGAACCAACCAAACCCCUUGCAUCGUACAUGAAAACCUCCGAUACCAACCUAAAUUAUUACAA
RNAcentral lists this unclassified non-coding RNA (208 nucleotides) under plant metagenome. RNAcentral's name for it is "partial contains small subunit ribosomal RNA and internal transcribed spacer 1". The stretch from base 1 to 46 matches the Rfam family "Eukaryotic small subunit ribosomal RNA", at positions 1786 to 1831 of the family's 1831-position model. The record is from RNAcentral.